GGUUGUGACUCAGUGGUAGAGUGUUUGCCUAGCAUGUGGGAGGCACUGGGUUUGAUUCUCAGCACCA
This 67-nucleotide transfer RNA is filed under the name Marmota monax (woodchuck). RNAcentral describes it as "tRNA.Ala". Lineage: Eukaryota; Metazoa; Chordata; Mammalia; Rodentia; Sciuridae. The record is from RNAcentral.